AUGAUCACUAAUGCUCAAAAAAAUAAAAUGCUGGUAGGUCUGGCGCAUGAUCUCAUCCCAAAUGGAGUUGCGGUGCUCCAAUACGCGGAUGAUACUAUUAUCUGCUUGGAUCAUGAUGUGGAUAAGACAGUGAACCUGAAGUUACUGCUUUACACUUUUGAGCUUAUGUCUGGGCUUAAAGUCAAUUACCAAAAGAGUGAGAUCUUUACCGUGGGUGGGGAUGACAACACUGUUAAAUACUACGCUGAGUUGUUUAACUAUGACAUGGGCAGUUUUACUUUUCAAUAUCUUGGUAUGCCCGUUAGCUAUACUUUCCUUAGAGACUCAGACUGGGAUUUCAUUGUGGCUAAAUACCUCAAGAGGUUUGAGGCUUGGAUUGGUAAUGCUGCCUCCAUGGGGGGAAGACUUACCCUAUUGGAUUCGGUUGUGACACAAAUCUCACUGUACCAUAUGUCUAUGUGGUUAAUGAGCAAAACCUUCAUUGAAAAACUUGACAAGCACAGAAGAAAAUUCUUUUGGCAAGGGUGUAACAAGAAGAAAUGA
This 543-nucleotide ribosomal RNA is filed under the name Triticum aestivum (bread wheat). RNAcentral describes it as "partial small subunit ribosomal RNA". The record is from RNAcentral. Lineage: Eukaryota; Viridiplantae; Streptophyta; Magnoliopsida; Poales; Poaceae.